UAGAGUUUGAUCCUGGCUCAGGAUGAACCUUUGCGGGAGGCUUAAUACAUGCAAGUCGAGCGGUAAGUUUUUAUAGCAAUAUGAAGACCUAGAGCGGCGCACGGGUGAGUAACGCGUACACGACCUGGCCUAAACUGGGGGAUAGCCUUGGGAAACUGAGAGUAAUCCCGCAUGUGAUUAUGUUACUGAUGGUGAUAUAAUUAAAGCUUCGGCGGUUUAGGAUGGGUGUGCGUCUGAUUAGCUAGUUGGUAGUGUAACGGACUACCAAGGCGAUGAUCAGUAGGGGGCGUGAGAGCGUGACCCCCCACACGGGUACUGAGACACGGACCCGACUCCUACGGGAGGCAGCAGUAAGGAAUAUUGGUCAAUGCCCGGAAGGGUGAACCAGCCAUCCCGCGUGAAGGAUGAAGGGGCUCUGCCUUGUAAACUUCUUUUGUAUGGGGCGAANAAAGGGGAUUUAUCCUCGACUGACGGUACCAUAAGAAUAAGCACCGGCUAACUCCGUGCCAGCAGCCGCGGUAAUA
Molecule: ribosomal RNA, 524 nt
Filed under: uncultured bacterium
Lineage: Bacteria
Description: bacterial SSU rRNA
Rfam family: Bacterial small subunit ribosomal RNA
Source: RNAcentral